CCAGACUCCUACGGGAGGCAGCAGUGGGGAAUAUUGCACAAUGGGGGAAACCCUGAUGCAGCAACGCCGCGUGAGUGAGGAGGUAUUUCGGUAUGUAAAGCUCUAUCAGCAGGGAAUAGAAAAGAAGGUACCUGAAAAAGAAGCCCCGGCUAACUACGUGCCAGCAGCCGCGGUAAUACGUAGGGGGCAAGCGUUAUCCGGAUUUACUGGGUGUAAAGGGAGCGUAGACGGCCAGACAAGUCAGAAGUGAAAGCCCAGGGCUCAACCCUGGGACUGCUUUUGAAACUGCCGGGCUGGAGUGCAGGAGAGGUAAGCGGAAUUCCUAGUGUAGCGGUGAAAUGCGUAGAUAUUAGGAGGAACACCAGUGGCGAAGGCGGCUUACUGGACUGUAACUGACGUUGAGGCUCGAAAGCGUGGGGAGCAAACAGGAUUAGAUACCCCCGUAA
RNAcentral lists this ribosomal RNA (446 nucleotides) under uncultured bacterium. Its description in RNAcentral is "partial 16S ribosomal RNA". It matches the Rfam family "Bacterial small subunit ribosomal RNA", at positions 331 to 793 of the family's 1533-position model. The record is from RNAcentral.